CACACACACACACACACACAUAAGGCGUUUUCAGGAAAUGUGUACAGUCUAUGGAACUGUGUUUUAAGGUGGACCGGGCCCUUUUUGCUUGUUGCUUGCGUUCUGUAUGCUUUUGGAAACUUCACGGGUUGCUGGAUCGUUGCAUUAUUAUCACGCAUGUCAGGUCUGUCUGAGGCUGUUGCUACACCAAAGCUUUGGUUCCAUGUUCAGCCUUCCUCAUGCCUGCAUAAUGUCUGUCUGCCGUUAUGGUUGGAGAGUUCUGCUAAAAUCAAGCAGUGCCUAAGACUGCCUACCCUGUCCUCUCUACAGAAUGAACACUGUG
Girardinichthys multiradiatus is the source of this 322-nucleotide long non-coding RNA. RefSeq lists it as uncharacterized. The record is from RefSeq and is a predicted model, not a curated record. The transcript has 3 exons. Lineage: Eukaryota; Metazoa; Chordata; Actinopteri; Cyprinodontiformes; Goodeidae.